CACAAGACUGAAUCUGGAUCACCAUCUAGUGGCAGACGGGUGAGUAACACGUGGGUGACCUACCUUUUCGUUGGGGAUAACAGUUGGAAACGAUUGCUAAUACCGAAUAAAAUGUAAGAGUCAAUUUUACAUUGAAAGGAGCCUUUAAAGCUUUGCGAUUAGAUGGGCCUGCGGCGUAUUAACUAGUUGGUGAGGUAAUGGCUUACCAAGGUGACGAUGCGUAGCCGAACUGAGAGGUUGAUCGGCCACACUGGGACUGAGACACGGCCCAGACUCC
Molecule: ribosomal RNA, 277 nt
Filed under: uncultured bacterium
Lineage: Bacteria
Description: partial 16S ribosomal RNA
Rfam family: Bacterial small subunit ribosomal RNA
Source: RNAcentral